This 494-nucleotide ribosomal RNA is filed under the name uncultured bacterium. RNAcentral describes it as "partial 16S ribosomal RNA". It matches the Rfam family "Bacterial small subunit ribosomal RNA", at positions 28 to 507 of the family's 1533-position model. The record is from RNAcentral.
GACGAACGCUGGCGGCGUGCUUAACACAUGCAAGUCGAACGGAAAGGCCUGCUUUCCCUUGUGGAUUGCGGGUACUCGAGUGGCGAACGGGUGAGUAACACGUGAGUGAUCUUCCCCCAACUUGGGUAUAAGCCUGGGAAACUGGGUCUAAUUCCCGAUAGGACUGCAGGGUGGUGCCUGUGGUGGAAAACGAUUUUCUAGUGUUUGGGGAUGAGCUCGCGGCCUAUCAGCUUGUUGGUGGGGUAAUGGCCUACCAAGGCGGCGACGGGUAGCCGGCCUGAGAGGGUGGACGGCGACAUUGGGACUGAGAUACGGCCCAGACUCCUACGGGAGGCAGCAGUGGGGAAUAUUGCACAAUGGGCGGAAGCCUGAUGCAGCGACGCCGCGUGGGGGAUGACGGGCUUCGGGUUGUAAACUCCUUUCGACCGCGAGGAAGCCACCUGGUUGGAAGGGUGGUGACGGUAGUGGUAGAAGAAGCACCGGCUAACUACGUG